Molecule: long non-coding RNA, 526 nt
Organism: Ctenopharyngodon idella (grass carp)
Lineage: Eukaryota; Metazoa; Chordata; Actinopteri; Cypriniformes; Xenocyprididae
Exons: 3
Source: RefSeq, a predicted model, not a curated record
AUUACGUUACUACGCUUGGAACUUUAAUGAACUCGGCAGGAUGUGUAGUGUUAAUUUCAGUUUUGAGUUUGUUAGCACAGAGUAACACUAAUUUCAGACCAGUUUUCUGAUUUCAUCUUUUUAAUUACAGUUUUCAUUUAAGCAACUAUAUCCGUAUAAUAACCAUACCAGCGCAAAAAGGUACCCCUCUCAUAUGACAACAGGGAGCUGAAAUUCACUGCAAUAUGCUGGACUUUAAUGGCGGCCUCUACUGCAUUCCGGACAUCCUUCCUGCCUCCAUCUGGGCAGUGAGCUAGAACAGCGCCCCCAGGGGCCAACACUGACCUGCUGCAGCCCGAGUCAGCUUUACGCAACUGACCACCCACUAACUCCUCACCGAGUGUAACUCCCUCAGCAGAGCUUCUGAAGGAUAGGAGAGGCAGCACAGGGCCUGGAGGAGGUGAAAUCACAGACUCGCAGGAGGGAGCCAGACCACAUAGUACAGUAGGGGGGUAGAGACCACCAGUAGAAGGAGGAGAACAUGGCU